UGGGGAAUCUUCCGCAAUGGACGAAAGUCUGACGGAGCAACGCCGCGUGUAUGAUGAAGGUCUUCGGAUUGUAAAGUACUGUCAUUGGGGAAGAACGGUUUUCUUGAAAAGAUUGAGAAGACAUGACGGUACCCAAGGAGGAAGCCCCGGCUAACUACGUGCCAGCAGCCGCGGUAAUACGUAGGGGGCAAGCGUUUGUCCGGAAUUAUUGGGCGUAAAGGGCGCGUAGGCGGGCCUUUAAGUCCGGUGUGAAAGAUCAGGGCUCAACCCUGAGAGUGCAUCGGAAACUGGAGGCCUUGAGGACAGGAGAGGAAAGUGGAAUUCCACGUGUAGCGGUGAAAUGCGUAGAUAUGUGGAGGAACACCAGUGGCGAAGGCGACUUUCUGGACUGUAACUGACGCUGAGGCGCGAAAGCGUGGGGAGCAAACAGGAUUAGAUACCCUGGUAGUCCACGCCGUAAACGAUGAGUGCUAGGUGUAGAGGGUAUCGACCCCCUUCUGUGCCGCAGUUAACACAAUAAGCACUCCGCCUGGGGAGUACGGCCNCAAGGUUGAAACUCAAAGGAAUUGAC
RNAcentral lists this ribosomal RNA (571 nucleotides) under uncultured bacterium. RNAcentral describes it as "partial 16S ribosomal RNA". It matches the Rfam family "Bacterial small subunit ribosomal RNA", at positions 355 to 914 of the family's 1533-position model. The record is from RNAcentral.